UAUGCUUAGCCCUAAACAUAAAUAGUUCUAUAACAAAACAAUUCGCCAGAGAACUACUAGCAACAGCUUAAAACUCAAAGGACUUGGCGGUGCUUUAUAUCCCUCUAGAGGAGCCUGUUCUAUAAUCGAUAAACCCCGAUAAACCUCACCAUCCCUUGCUAAUACAGUCUAUAUACCGCCAUCU
Molecule: ribosomal RNA, 184 nt
Filed under: Vulpes vulpes (red fox)
Lineage: Eukaryota; Metazoa; Chordata; Mammalia; Carnivora; Canidae
Description: partial small subunit ribosomal RNA
Source: RNAcentral